This 445-nucleotide ribosomal RNA is filed under the name uncultured bacterium. RNAcentral's name for it is "bacterial SSU rRNA". It matches the Rfam family "Bacterial small subunit ribosomal RNA", at positions 331 to 793 of the family's 1533-position model. The record is from RNAcentral.
CCAGACUCCUACGGGAGGCAGCAGUGGGGAAUAUUGCACAAUGGGGGAAACCCUGAUACAGCAACGCCGCGUGGGUGAAGGAGCGUUUCGGCGCGUAAAGCCCUGUCAGCGGGGAAGAAGAAAGACGGUACCCGACCAAGAAGCCCCGGCUAACUACGUGCCAGCAGCCGCGGUAAUACGGAGGAUGCGAGCGUUAUCCGGAUUUAUUGGGUUUAAAGGGUGCGUAGGCGGGCUGUUAAGUCAGCGGUCAAAUGUCGGGGCUCAACCCCGGCCUGCCGUUGAAACUGGCGGCCUCGAGUGGGCGAGAAGUAUGCGGAAUGCGUGGUGUAGCGGUGAAAUGCAUAGAUAUCACGCAGAACUCCGAUUGCGAAGGCAGCAUACCGGCGCCCUACUGACGCUGAGGCACGAAAGCGUGGGUAUCGAACAGGAUUAGAUACCCUAGUAG